This 394-nucleotide unclassified non-coding RNA is filed under the name soil metagenome. Its description in RNAcentral is "partial contains 5.8S ribosomal RNA, internal transcribed spacer 2, and large subunit ribosomal RNA". The stretch from base 1 to 122 matches the Rfam family "5.8S ribosomal RNA", at positions 35 to 154 of the family's 154-position model. The record is from RNAcentral.
GAUGAAGAACGCAGCGAAAUGCGAUACCUGGUGUGAAUUGCAGAAUCCCGCGAACCAUCGAGUCUUUGAACGCAAGUUGCGCCCGAGGCCACCCGGCCGAGGGCACGCCUGCCUGGGCGUCACGCCAAAACACGCUCCCACCCCCCCUCACCGGGGGAGCGGGACGCGGCGUCUGGCCCCCCGUGCCGCGAGGCGCGGUGCGCCGAAGAUCGGGCUGCCAGCGUACCGUGCCGGGCACAGCGCGUGGUGGAUCUCUACUCGGCGCAGUGCACCCGGCGCGUAGCCGGCGCAGCGGCCCCUAAGGACCCAACGAACGGAGCGCGAGCCGCUCCGACCGCGACCCCAGGUCAGGCGGGACUACCCGCUGAGUUUAAGCAUAUCAAUAAGCGGAGGA